This 43-nucleotide ribosomal RNA is filed under the name Colletotrichum pyricola. Its description in RNAcentral is "partial 28S ribosomal RNA". The record is from RNAcentral. Lineage: Eukaryota; Fungi; Ascomycota; Sordariomycetes; Glomerellales; Glomerellaceae.
GUUGACCUCGGAUCAGGUAGGACUACCCGCUGAACUUAAGCAU